GAUUCUGGCUCAGGAUGAACGCUAGCUACAGGCUUAACACAUGCAAGUCGAGGGGCAGCAUGGUCUUAGCUUGCUAAGACUGAUGGCGACCGGCGCACGGGUGAGUAACGCGUAUCCAACCUUCCCCCUGGUAGGGCAUAGCCCGGCGAAAGUCGGAUUAAUACCCUAUGCUAUCCGAAGAGGACAUCUGAUUUGGAUCAAAGAUUUAUCGCCAUGGGAUGGGGAUGCGUCCGAUUAGGUUGACGGCGGGGUGACGGCCCACCGUGCCCGCGAUCGGUAGGGGUUCUGAGAGGAAGGUCCCCCACAUUGGAACUGAGACACGGUCCGAACUCCUACGGGAGGCAGCAGUGAGGAAUAUUGGUCAAUGGGCGUAAGCCUGAACCAGCCAAAGUAGCGUGCGGGACGACGGCCCUAUGGGUUGUAAACCGCUUUUGCAGGGGAAUAAAGUGUGGGACGUGUCCCAUUUUGCAUGUACCCUGAGAAUAAGGACCGGCUAAUUCCGUGCCAGCCGCCGC
Molecule: ribosomal RNA, 515 nt
Filed under: uncultured bacterium
Lineage: Bacteria
Description: bacterial SSU rRNA
Rfam family: Bacterial small subunit ribosomal RNA
Source: RNAcentral